This 386-nucleotide ribosomal RNA is filed under the name uncultured soil bacterium. RNAcentral's name for it is "bacterial SSU rRNA". It matches the Rfam family "Bacterial small subunit ribosomal RNA", at positions 26 to 404 of the family's 1533-position model. The record is from RNAcentral.
AGAAUCAACGCUGGCGGCGUGCCUAACACAUGCAAGUCGAACGCGGUUAGCCCGCAAGGGUUAACUGAGUGGCGAACGGGUGAGUAACACGUGGGUGAUCUACCUUCGAGUGGGGGAUAACGUUCCGAAAGGAACGCUAAUACCGCAUGACGUUCUGGGUUUGAAGACCUGGAAACCAAAGUCGGGGACCGCAAGGCCUGACGCUUGGAGAGGAGCCCGCGCCUGAUUAGCUAGUUGGUGAGGUAAUGGCUCACCAAGGCGACGAUCAGUAGCCGGCCUGAGAGGGCGGACGGCCACACUGGGACUGAGACACGGCCCAGACUCCUACGGGAGCAGCAGUGGGAAUUGUCGCAAUGGCGCAAGCCUGACGACGCAACGCCGCGUGG